UCGCCCAAGGAUGAGCCCGCGUCGGAUUAGCUAGUUGGUGAGGUAAAAGCUCACCAAGGCGACGAUCCGUAGCUGGUCUGAGAGGAUGAUCAGCCACACUGGGACUGAGACACGGCCCAG
This 120-nucleotide ribosomal RNA is filed under the name uncultured bacterium. RNAcentral's name for it is "partial 16S ribosomal RNA". It matches the Rfam family "Bacterial small subunit ribosomal RNA", at positions 215 to 334 of the family's 1533-position model. The record is from RNAcentral.